Molecule: ribosomal RNA, 408 nt
Filed under: uncultured Gammaproteobacteria bacterium
Lineage: Bacteria; Pseudomonadati; Pseudomonadota; Gammaproteobacteria
Description: bacterial SSU rRNA
Rfam family: Bacterial small subunit ribosomal RNA
Source: RNAcentral
GAGUUUGAUCCUGGCUCAGAUUGAACGCUGGCGGCAGGCCUAACACAUGCAAGUCGAGCGGAUGACGGGAGCUUGCUCCUUGAUUCAGCGGCGGACGGGUGAGUAAUGCCUAGGAAUCUGCCUGGUAGUGGGGGACAACGUUUCGAAAGGAACGCUAAUACCGCAUACGUCCUACGGGAGAAAGCAGGGGACCUUCGGGCCUUGCGCUAUCAGAUGAGCCUAGGUCGGAUUAGCUAGUUGGUGGGGUAAUGGCUCACCAAGGCGACGAUCCGUAACUGGUCUGAGAGGAUGAUCAGUCACACUGGAACUGAGACACGGUCCAGACUCCUACGGGAGGCAGCAGUGGGGAAUAUUGGACAAUGGGGGAAACCCUGAUCCAGCAACGCCGCGUGAGUGAUGAAGGCCUUC